This 1057-nucleotide ribosomal RNA is filed under the name Rhodococcus sp. BX. Its description in RNAcentral is "bacterial SSU rRNA". It matches the Rfam family "Bacterial small subunit ribosomal RNA", at positions 32 to 1106 of the family's 1533-position model. The record is from RNAcentral. Lineage: Bacteria; Bacillati; Actinomycetota; Actinomycetes; Mycobacteriales; Nocardiaceae.
GGGAAUGGCGGCGUCUACCAUGCAGUCGAGCGCUCCUUCCCAGUGUUGCUGGGAGGAUUGAUGAUCAAGGGGUGACUUGCCCUUCUCUGAUCUGCCCUCCUGUCUGGGAUGGGGUAGUACCGCUGGGUCUAUUACCGGAAAUGACUUCGGGAUGAAUGUCCUGCCCGCGUUGGAUUUUCGGUGCGGGGUGAUCCCGCCUCCUAUCACCUUGUUGGUGGGGUAAUGUCCUACCGAGGAUCCGACGGCUGGCGGCCUGAGAGGGCGACCACUCCUACUGGGACUGAAACACGGCAAUCACUCCUACGGGAGGCAACCCUGAUCUAUAUUGCCCACUGGACUCAUGCCUGAUGCAGCGACGCCGCGUGCUUUCUGACGGCCUUCGGGUUGUAAACCUCUUUCACCAAUGACCAACCACAUCUGAGCCUACUGCCAGAAUAAUCCCCAGGCAACUAUCUUCCUUCAGCCUUGCUGAUACGUAAGGUGCCAUCGUUGUCCCGAAUUACUGGGCGUGAAAACCUCGGGCUCGGUUUGUCGCGUGCCUUGUGAAAUCCCGCACCUCAACUGCGGGCUUGUGAGCGAUAUUCCCAGACUCGAGUACUGCUUGGGAGACUGUAAUUCCUGGUGUAGCGGUGAAAUGCGCUCAUAUCAGGAGGAACACCGGUGGCGAGCGUCGGGUCUCUGGAGCAUAACUGAAGACCGAAAGCGCGCGUAGCGAACAAGAAUAGAUACACUGCUGGUCCACGCCGUAUCCGUGGCGCGCUAGGUGUGUGUUUCCUUCCGCGGGAUCCGUGCCGUAGCCAGAUCAUUACUCGCCCCACCCUGACGAGUACGCCCGCAAGGCUAAGACUAUGUGGAUUUGAUCGGAGCCCGCCCAGAGGCUUAGCAUGUGUAUACAUUCGAUGACACGUCCAGAAACUUACCUGCGUCUUGACGUGUACCGGAGAACUGCGCAGAUGUGCUUUCCUGCUGCUGCCCGUUAUACGAGUGGUUGCAUGGCUCUCGUCACGCUCGUGUCCCGACGAUCCUUGGGUUAACAUCCUUCACUAGCGCACUCCCA